AGUGAACGCUGGCGGUAGGCCUAACACAUGCAAGUCGAACGGCAGCACAGUAAGAGCUUGCUCUUACGGGUGGCGAGUGGCGGACGGGUGAGGAAUACAUCGGAAUCUACUUUUUCGUGGGGGAUAACGUAGGGAAACUUACGCUAAUACCGCAUACGACCUACGGGUGAAAGCAGGGGAUCUUCGGACCUUGCGCGAUUGAAUGAGCCGAUGUCGGAUUAGCUAGUUGGCGGGGUAAAGGCCCACCAAGGCGACGAUCCGUAGCUGGUCUGAGAGGAUGAUAAGCCACACUGGCACGGAGACACGGUCCAGACUCCUACGGGAGGCAGCAGUGGGGAAUAUUCGGCAAAGGGGGGAAGCCUGAUCCAGCCAUACCACGAGGGUGAAGAAGGCCUUCGGGUUGUAAAGACCUUUUGUUGGGAAAGAAAAGCAGCAGGUUAAUACCCCGCUGUUCUGACGGUACCCAAAGAAUAAGCACCGGCUAACUUCGUG
This 492-nucleotide ribosomal RNA is filed under the name uncultured bacterium. RNAcentral describes it as "partial 16S ribosomal RNA". It matches the Rfam family "Bacterial small subunit ribosomal RNA", at positions 29 to 507 of the family's 1533-position model. The record is from RNAcentral.